This 253-nucleotide ribosomal RNA is filed under the name uncultured bacterium. Its description in RNAcentral is "partial 16S ribosomal RNA". It matches the Rfam family "Bacterial small subunit ribosomal RNA", at positions 524 to 776 of the family's 1533-position model. The record is from RNAcentral.
UACGUAGGGUGCAAGCGUUGUCCGGAAUUAUUGGGCGUAAAGAGCUCGUAGGCGGUUUGUCGCGUCUGCUGUGAAAACUGGAGGCUCAACCUCCAGCCUGCAGUGGGUACGGGCAGACUAGAGUGCGGUAGGGGAGAUUGGAAUUCCUGGUGUAGCGGUGGAAUGCGCAGAUAUCAGGAGGAACACCGAUGGCGAAGGCGGUUCUCUGGGCCUGUACUGACGCUGAGGGGCGAAAGCGUGGGGAGCGAACAGG